UACGAAGGGUGCUAGCGUUGUUCGGAAUCACUGGGCGUAAAGGCGCGUAGGCGGCCUUGCAAGUCGGUUGGUGAAAGCCCGGGGCUCAACCCCGGAGGUGCGGCCGAGACUGCAGGGCUGGAGGCCGGAAGAGGAGGGUGGAAUACCCAGUGUAGAGGUGAAAUUCGUAGAUAUUGGGUGGAACACCGGUGGCGAAAGCGGCUCUCUGGUCCGGACCUGACGCUGAGGCGCGAAAGCGUGGGGAGCAAACAGG
RNAcentral lists this ribosomal RNA (253 nucleotides) under uncultured bacterium. Its description in RNAcentral is "partial 16S ribosomal RNA". It matches the Rfam family "Bacterial small subunit ribosomal RNA", at positions 524 to 776 of the family's 1533-position model. The record is from RNAcentral.